RNAcentral lists this long non-coding RNA (1041 nucleotides) under Piliocolobus tephrosceles (Ugandan red Colobus). RNAcentral describes it as "lncRNA (ENSPTEG00000001213.1)". Lineage: Eukaryota; Metazoa; Chordata; Mammalia; Primates; Cercopithecidae. The record is from RNAcentral.
AUGUCCAAUUUGUUUGAUCAAGAAAUUAAUAAAAUUUUCCCCUUUGAACCGUACAAAGUACAACUCGAAUUCAUGAGAGGCUUAUAUAAUAUUUUAAAAAACUCAAACAUAAUAAAUGAACAAGUAAAUUCUUUUUAUGAAGCUAUUAAAAAUAGUGAAACUGCCAGUGAUAAGUUAAAGCAAAUUCAAUAUAAUAGCUCAAAUAUAUUUGACCAAACUAGUAUACUGAGUACGCAUAAUGAUAAUUAUAACAAUAAAAUUGAAUAUUUAAAAGAGGAAAAUAAUCAUGAAAAACAUAUUAUCUGUGAAAUGAAAACUGGUUCAGGUAAAUCUUUGACGUUAUUGGCACCAUUAAUAUAUUGGCUUUUAAAACACAAAUUUGAUUUGUUUAUAAUGAAGGAAAACUUGAAAUUAAAAGCAGAUGAACCCGAAUGGAUAAAAGAAAGUAUAGCUGAACGGGCUAUCGAAAAAUAUGCUAACAUAUUAGAAAAACAAAAAAGAAAACAAGAAUGCGAUACUAAUAUCCUUAAUAAAUAUUUUACUUUUGUUAAUGAUAAGGUAACUUUAAUAGAACAAAAAAAAAUUGAAAAGAGAGUUGUUGCAGAAACGAAUCGUCAGAGUAAGAAUACGGAUGACAUACCACUAAUCUACCAAAAUGAAGACGCUCCGAGCAAUUACUCUAUUGAGGACUCUGACAAAAAACAAAUCUUUAUUUGUAGUAGAACACAAUCGCAACUGAAUCAGUACUUUUAUGAAUUAAAAAAAAUAGAAAAAAAAAUGACAAAUGUUUUUAUAAAUAUGAUUAUUAUUGGUAGUAGAAAACAUAUGUGUAUAAACCAGGUAAGAUAACAGAAGUUGUUAAAAGUGUGUUCGCAAGCAUAUGUAUGUGCGUAUGUUGAUGAAAAUGCAACAACACAAAACAACACACACACAUACAUACAUGUAAACAAUUGCUUUUCUUUUCUUUUCUUUUAACUCCACAGGAUAUACUAAAAAAGUGUCCAAAUAUAAACGAACUGAAUGACACUUGUAAAAACAGUA